UUCUAACAGUUAUUAAACAAUAGAGAAUGUGACAGCUGUGGGACAGGACUGCAAUUAUCACAUUACGGUAUUGACAUCUCAGAGCCACACUCUUGGGAGUGCAUGUACUCUCAGUGCCAAAGUCAGAACCACCUGGAAAACAGUGGACCACAUAUUUGCUCCUUCACAACAGCAGCCUCCUGGAACUCAAUCCAGUUCCUUUCUAUUUAAAUCAUAAUCUACUCUCAAGAGAACUAGGGAAAGUGGAUGACAAGUGUGGAUCGAUGCUGUUCAUCUAUUCUAAGAAUUACAUUUCCUAGAGAAUAUUGUAAGCAUCAAUGAGAAGAACCCUAUUGAUUUUGGUGACAAUUGAAAAGGAACAAUGGAAAAGUCUGAUAUCUAUACUUAGUGCUGCAGGCAGCGCAUUCUGACAUCAGAGCCAGGCUGCCCAACGUGGCUAGGAUCCGCGUCCCCUCGACCCUCCCACUCAGCAGGAGCUGCACGGGCUCCCCUCUAGCUUGUAGCAAGGGGACUGGCUGAGGGAGAAGCCUCCCCAGGUAGCCUGACCCCCCAGCCCUGCCCCUUCCACCCGAGACCCCGCCCCUUCUGGGGGCAGGAGUUGGCCCCCGUACCGAACAGAUUCAACUCCUGUUGGACCGAUUACUUUACAUGGGAGUCAGGAGAG
Mauremys reevesii (Reeves's turtle) is the source of this 664-nucleotide long non-coding RNA. RefSeq lists it as uncharacterized. The transcript has 4 exons. The record is from RefSeq and is a predicted model, not a curated record. NCBI's taxonomy places the organism in Eukaryota, Metazoa, Chordata, Testudines, Geoemydidae.